This 115-nucleotide ribosomal RNA is filed under the name Candidatus Pacearchaeota archaeon. Lineage: Archaea; Nanobdellati. The record is from RNAcentral.
GAAGACGGCCAUAGUAGUGGUGUUAUACCCAAACCCAUUCCGAACUUGGAAGUCAAGCCUGCUACGCCAUCUGUUUUAGUGUCCGACAAGAUGCGAAUCAGUGGUGCCGUCUCGC